CAGCCGCCGCGGGAAAACGAAGGGGGCUAGCGUUGCUGAAUGACUGGGCGUAAAGGGCGCGUAGGCGGCGGCCAAAGUCAGGCGUGAAAUUCCUGGGCUCAACCUGGGGGCUGCGCUUGAUACUUGGUUGCUUGAGUGGGGAAGAGGGUCGUGGAAUUCCCAGUGUAGAGGUGAAAUUCGUAGAUAUUGGGAAGAACACCGGUGGCGAAGGCGGCGACCUGGUCCUUGACUGACGCUGAGGCGCGAAAGCGUGGGGAGCAAACAGGAUUAGAUACCCCGGUAGUCCCUGUCUCUUAUACAC
RNAcentral lists this ribosomal RNA (301 nucleotides) under uncultured bacterium. Its description in RNAcentral is "partial 16S ribosomal RNA". It matches the Rfam family "Bacterial small subunit ribosomal RNA", at positions 509 to 809 of the family's 1533-position model. The record is from RNAcentral.